UGAAUUAGUUACAUUAGGGUUCAUAUCAGCAUGAAAAGGAGGCGCAAACCUCAUGAAACUAAGCAGACGGAACAACACGAGGACAAUAAGAUACUCAUUAAAUGAUUCUCACAACCUACAAAUCCCAGUGAAUGCACACGAGUUAAUGUGUGUGUGUGUUUGCAGAGAAUGGCAGCGGCAGGAUCUGAGGCCUGUAACCAUCACGACAGCGGGAGCUCAUCCGCUAAUUCACUAAUUGACGUCACUUGUCAGAGACAACGCCGAAGCUUUUUUGUUCACCCUACCCGGGACGCCAUUAGUUGUAAUUAACAGGCUGACUGAUCAGGUAUAAAACAUGCAACGAGACUCAGGGAAUCGCGAAAAAAACUGUAAUAUCAGUCUCUCAGACUAUGUAUUAUCUUUGCAAAAGGCUGCACAUCGUCAGACGAGAGAUUGUUGAGUCUUGUGUUCGUCUUCUUGUCACAUGCAGGAUUUUCAUCAACUGAAAAUGAAAGUGAACAAAGGUUGAUUGACAGGUGAUCCUGAGAUCAGGAUGACGGCCACGGUAGAAAACCGCAGCCACGAGAGUGAGAGCGUCUUGCUCAAGGUCCUCCGGCAGGGCACGGUGCCAUCAGCCAGUCUGUGGAACCAAGAGGCAACUUCUGCUUCUCCUGAUGAAUAAUGAGGAAACUUAACUAACAAGCGGUUUGCUGAGCUCUGCCUUCAUGUGAGCUUGUGU
Molecule: long non-coding RNA, 718 nt
Organism: Gasterosteus aculeatus aculeatus (three-spined stickleback)
Lineage: Eukaryota; Metazoa; Chordata; Actinopteri; Perciformes; Gasterosteidae
Source: Ensembl